AUCAGAUCACCUUAAAUUAAUCAUUUUAAUAAAAGUUAAUAUUUACUAAAACGAUAAUUUUUGGUCUACGAAAAUCAAAAAAUGAGUUCGGGAGUCGGUUACGCACGAGGAAGGAUUAGCACCCUCGAUACGCCCAAAAUUGGUACCUAGUUGAUUAAUUAGUGUCUUAGUGUCGAAAAUUUGAAAACUUGAAAGAAUUUAAAAUACGAUCCCUCUUUGUAAAGAAAAUGCUCAAAUGUUAAAGACCUUCUCGCCUCACAAUAUAAAAUGUCACAUCCAGUAAGUUAGGACACGACAUCUUGAAUUUUUAAGAGCGAGCUUGCCUUUUAUAUAAAAUUUUGUGUAUUUCAAAAGAUUAUUCAGUUAGUUAAUGUGAACGAGGAAAAUCGAAACCCUGUAAGUUAGGGCACGUUUCCUCGAAUUUUCGAACACUGAAUAUUGCCUUUACUUGCAAAAAUCUUAUUUCGAGGUAACAAAAUGCCAUACCCGGUAAGUUAGGGCACAACACCUCGUAUCUCCGAGAAUAAGCAUUUUUCAAAACUCAUGUCGCGAUUUAAAAGAGUAUUCCGUUAUUUAGGUUAAAGGAGAAAAAUCGAAACCC
Molecule: long non-coding RNA, 601 nt
Filed under: Gossypium barbadense (sea-island cotton)
Lineage: Eukaryota; Viridiplantae; Streptophyta; Magnoliopsida; Malvales; Malvaceae
Description: long non-coding RNA (GBAR_LNC008461)
Source: RNAcentral